AUUGCCUCAGUAACGGCGAGUGAAGCGGCAACAGCUCAAAUUUGAAAUCUGGCCCUAGGCCCGAGUUGUAAUUUGCAGAGGAUGCUUUUGGUGCGGUGCCUUCCAAGUUCCCUAGAACGGGACGCCAGAGAGGGUGAGAGCCCCGUACAGUUGGACACCAAGCCUUUGUAAAGCUCCUUCGACGAGUCGAGUAGUUUGGGAAUGCUGCUCAAAAUGGGAGGUAUAUUUCUUCUAAAGCUAAAUACCGGCCAGAGACCGAUAGCGCACAAGUAGAGUGAUCGAAAGAUGAAAAGCACUUUGAAAAGAGGGUUAAACAGCACGUGAAAUUGUUAAAAGGGAAGCGCUUGUGACCAGACUUGCGUCCGGUGAAUCACCCAGCUCUCGCGGCUGGGGCACUUCGCCGGCUCAGGCCAGCAUCAGCUCGCUGUCGGGGACAAAAGCUUCAGGAACGUAGCUCUCUUCGGGGAGUGUUAUAGCCUGUUGCAUAAUACCCUUCGGCGGGCUGAGGUACGCGCUCCGCAAGGAUGCUGGCAUAAUGGUCAUCAGCGACCCGUCUUGAAACACGGACCAAGGAGUCAACCUUAUGUGCGAGUGUUCGGGUGUCAAACCCCUACGCGUAAUGAAAGUGAACGCAGGUGAGAGCUUCGGCGCAUCAUCGACCGAUCCUGAUGUUCUCGGAUGGAUUUGAGUAAGAGCAUAUAGGGUUGGACCCGAAAGAAGGUGAACUAUGCGUGUAUAGGGUGAAGCCAGAGGAAACUCUGGUGGAGGCUCGCAGCGGUUCUGACGUGCAAAUCGAUCGUCAAAUAUGCGCAUGGGGGCGAAAGACUAAUCGA
Molecule: ribosomal RNA, 833 nt
Filed under: Colletotrichum asianum
Lineage: Eukaryota; Fungi; Ascomycota; Sordariomycetes; Glomerellales; Glomerellaceae
Description: LSU rRNA
Rfam family: Eukaryotic large subunit ribosomal RNA
Source: RNAcentral